Molecule: long non-coding RNA, 902 nt
Organism: Dreissena polymorpha
Lineage: Eukaryota; Metazoa; Mollusca; Bivalvia; Myida; Dreissenidae
Exons: 2
Source: RefSeq, a predicted model, not a curated record
CACUGCAGUCUGUAAAUAUGUAAACAAUAGGAGCUUGUGGGACAUAUUGACCAGUCUAGUGCUUAUAACAACUUGUGCGAUGAUAUUGCAGUAAGCCGAUAGAACCGAACACGUUUUCGGAUGGCACUGAAGUCGCGGGCCCCGAACGGGUAAUCGUCGGGCUAUCACUGCAACAUUCGGGAACCGUGACUCAUACUUCCGCCACCACUGCAGAGGAUAAAUGUCAUGCACCAACUUCUUGUUUAUAUAAUACUGUAGCUCGUCCACCAAUGUACUCUCUGGCGAGCUGAAGCCCAGGAAGUCCAACUUCCGACGUUUCAAAGUCGCCACCGUUUUCUGCUGUACACUUCAGUGGCAAGUAGUCCAUGGCCGAUCCCACAUAUCCUGUUUGAUCUUCCGUUGUUAAGACGAGAAGAACCCAUAAUUCUUGUAACGCGGAUUUAAAAGAGCGCCCAAUGCAGCAGUGGACCGUGACGUGUCUUUCUAUGAUGGUUGGUUCCGAUUCACCAAAUCAUCUUGGAUCGCGUUUUUCACCCAGUGAGCUAUAGCACUGUCCAUUCAGGAAGACGCAAGACUCUUUGCGCCGAGUCUACACACGUUCGGGUAUAUUUCUGGCACAUAGUGUUAAUUCAUUAAUUUAAUAGGAUGCAUAUAGAAAUCGCAUCGUAUGCCCGUCCGUCAUGGGUACAUGUUGGAGCAUUACUUCCUAAGUGUUAAGGUUUUACCUCAUUAGCAGGUAUAGUUUGUCUAUGUUUUGCACUGCAUCAUGUUAAAUAGUCGUGUCGUUUAUAAAUUAAAAAAUGUCUGUCCCAAAUACACGUAUGUUGUGCCAACGAAAGUGAUUUUAUAUGCAUAUACCGUUAUUGUCUUAUUUGAGAUAAUACGAUAAAGAAUUAAGAAUA